Molecule: long non-coding RNA, 333 nt
Organism: Sinocyclocheilus anshuiensis
Lineage: Eukaryota; Metazoa; Chordata; Actinopteri; Cypriniformes; Cyprinidae
Exons: 2
Source: RefSeq, a predicted model, not a curated record
ACGCACGUCUCUACGCUCCGACCGUCAGCUGGCGAGUUUCAUUUCAUCGCACAAGAGCGCGACGGGAAACGUGCAGCGUUGGAGUUUCUCGAUAACAUUGAUUUAUUUAAGGAUGACGCGAACCGAUGGAGAGACCGAAACUGGUUUGGCGUCUCCGUAAGAGCGGCUCACGUCUCCAAGCACUGACAAUCAGCACCAUAAGCAGACGUGUGUUUAUCACUGUGACUUCAGCAUGUGAAGAUAUCAUUUUGACAAAGAUUUGAUCAUGACAGACCCUGGAGAAACUCUGUGAGCUUUAAACACAUCAACCAAUAAAUAGCAGUAAAACACAAA